Molecule: long non-coding RNA, 1892 nt
Organism: Lolium rigidum
Lineage: Eukaryota; Viridiplantae; Streptophyta; Magnoliopsida; Poales; Poaceae
Exons: 3
Source: RefSeq, a predicted model, not a curated record
CUUUCCUCUUUCCUACCACCCGCCCGCCCUCUCCUCCCGAUGGCGGCCCUCCCACCGCCCCCUCCUCCCGAUGAGAACCUCUCCUCCGAGCCGCGGCCGACUAGGACCAGGAGGAGCACCGAUGGGUCAUCAUCCUAGAUCCUCCCCUGCUGGUCAUGGGCGAGCCCCCAUGCCAGGGCUAGAGGAGGUGAGAAAGAAGCUGCAAUUCGAGGUGAGGAAACUGGAAUUUGCCCCUUCCCUUCUUCCUCCCGAUCUCACUCCCUUCAGAUUGAUUCGAACAUUGCCGUCCUCAAGAUGGAAGCAACAACACUGGUGGUCUAUCUCACGAAGCAAUCUCACCAUUUUCAGUUAUUUCAUCAUCUCCUAAGUGUUGAACUGCAGACGGUGAUUAAAAUUUAGUAGCCGGUUUGCCCCAUUGCUGUAUUUAGCGUUAUGUGCCUUCACUAAAUUCCACUUGCACAUACAUCACCAGAGUGGAAGAAGAGGAACAUCUGUAGCUGACCUUUUUUUAUACGGUUCAUCAUUUUAUUCUGAACACUUCCAGUACAUGACGAUGGUGCGCGCUGCCGUGCCUGUUUAUUUUUUCAUUAAAUGGCUGGAGUUUCAUCAAUAUAUGUCAGCAUGAUAUAUGAAGCUAAAUUUCCAGGAACUAAUUCCUAUAUUUUUCAUAAUUGAAUAAUUGAUUUUUACCGGUUCGCCUAGAGUUCUAGGUUUAGUCAAAGUCAAAGUUUUCUCAAAAUCAAAGUAUUAAAAUCAAAGUUUUUUCAAAUCAAAUGGAGGGAGUAGUAGGGAGAGACUGGUUAUAUAACGUAUUUGCAGUUGCUUAUAUGCUUCUAAUUAGGACAUGCUGAUGGUGAAUACAGAUAAAUAUUUACAGAAAAAUGAAAUUGCUUAGUUGGUUGCAUCAAGUAAUAGCAUACCUCUAACAUCCAACUGUUUCAUGUUUUAUUUUGGAGCCACCAAGUGGUGAUGAUUUCGUGGCCGUCAAACGGCACGGGUGCCUUUACCAGUGCCACGCAUUCAGGGAUACACAUCCUGGACCAAGAGAGUCGGGAGACCCUGAUGCUGCGCACCGCCGUUCCAACCAUUGAUGAUCUUAUGUCUUUGUACCAGUGAUGGCAAGAUGAUAAACUGGUGCAUAGGGAUUGUCGUCGGGAUAGAUGCAUUUAAGAACUCCGCUAUCAUUCUCACCUCAACAUGGAUUUUCUGCACCAAGAAACCUUUGUAUGAUUGGACAAAAAAAUGGAGUACACUACUGAGGCAAAGCUGAUAUUGUGGUUGAUGCAAUCGUGAGUUUAUAAUAAUCAUCCAAAUAGCACAAGACUGCAGGUCAAAGAGUGGUAAAGUUAACCCCUUAACGUUUCAUAACUGAACUACUACUGUUGUUUGUCAUGACCGAUUUAUACACUGACAACACUAAACCUGCAGGUCUUCCAGUUGGUCUAUGUGCCUCGGCGGAUGAUCUUGCAGAGGGUCAGUAAUGCUUUACAGCUUAAGAUCAAUUCGUCACCACAGUACGAGAAUAACACCAACUUAACAGCUGCAUCGACAUGAACAUUCGGUCUGGUAUGCCCAGCGUGUUACUUAUAGAGCAGGAAUGCAUCCAGCCUUAAGACGGAUUAUGAUAUGCCAUAUCCUUAUGCACCUACCCUUUUUCUUUACUCACCAACAACAGACAUUUUUUUUGUUUGUUUUCACAAAACUGUAUAUGCCUUAUCCAAUUUAGGCUUCGUAAUAAAUCCAAAAUCCUACACAGGAUAGGUAACCUGUUAUUUUUUUGCAUCCAGUCUUAGAGGUUCAGACCUCACGGAUGUGAGUUUAAUAUCAAUCUGUAUGCUUGUUUGAUUAAACCAUGCUGUUGUUAUAUAUGUAUGUGGUUGGUGCUACCUCAA